Molecule: ribosomal RNA, 468 nt
Filed under: uncultured bacterium
Lineage: Bacteria
Description: partial 16S ribosomal RNA
Rfam family: Bacterial small subunit ribosomal RNA
Source: RNAcentral
GACGAACGCUGGCGGCGUGCUUAACACAUGCAAGUCGAACGGAAAGGCCCUGCUUUUGUGGGGUGCUCGAGUGGCGAACGGGUGAGUAACACGUGAGUAACCUGCCCUUGACUUUGGGAUAACUUCAGGAAACUGGGGCUAAUACCGGAUAGGAGCUCCUGCUGCAUGGUGGGGGUUGGAAAGUUUCGGCGGUUGGGGAUGGACUCGCGGCUUACCAGCUUGUUGGUGGGGGAGGGGUUUACCAAGGCUUUGACGGGUAGCCGGCCGGGGAGGGUGACCGGCGUCAAGGGGACUGAGAUACGGACCAGACUCCUACGGGGGGCAGCAGUGGGGAAUAUUGCACAAUGGGCGGAAGUCUGAUGCAGCAGCGCCGCGGGCGUGAUGACGGCCUUCGGGGUAUAAACCGCUUUAGCUUGUGACGAAGCGUGAGUGACGGUAAUGGGUAAAGAAGCACCGGCUAACUACGUG